Molecule: ribosomal RNA, 468 nt
Filed under: uncultured bacterium
Lineage: Bacteria
Description: partial 16S ribosomal RNA
Rfam family: Bacterial small subunit ribosomal RNA
Source: RNAcentral
GACGAACGCUGGCGGCGUGCUUAACACAUGCAAGUCGAACGGAAAGGCCCUGCUUUUGUGGGGUGCUCGAGUGGCGAACGGGUGAGUAACACGUGAGUAACCUGCCCUUGACUUUGGGAUAACUUCAGGAAACUGGGGCUAAUACCGGAUAGGAGCUCCUGCUGCAUGGUGGGGGUUGGAAAGUUUCGGCGGUUGGGGAUGGACUCGCGGCUUAUCAGCUUGUUGGUGGGGUAGUGGCUUACCAAGGCUUUGACGGGUAGCCGGCCUGAGAGGGUGACCGGCCACAUUGGGACUGAGAUACGGCCCAGACUCCUACGGGAGGCAGCAGUGGGAAAUAUUGCACGAUGGGCGGAAGCCUGAUGCAGCAACGCCGCGUGCGGGAUGACGGCCUUCGGGUUGUAAACCGCUUUCGCCUGUGACGAAGCGUGAGUGACGGUAAUGGGUAAAGAAGCACCGGCUAACUACGUG